This is a long non-coding RNA of Apaloderma vittatum (bar-tailed trogon), 461 nucleotides long. RefSeq lists it as uncharacterized. The transcript has 5 exons. NCBI's taxonomy places the organism in Eukaryota, Metazoa, Chordata, Aves, Trogoniformes, Trogonidae. The record is from RefSeq and is a predicted model, not a curated record.
UCAGUGAACCUUUCUUUGAGUAACUUCUGAAAGAAUGCGCCUUUUUGCACUUUGGGGAAAAUCUGAACUCUGAGGAAAAGGGAGGAAGAUGGAGCAAAUUGCCAAUGUGACGUGUUGGAAGAGUACAGUUUGAAAAGUUCUGGGACGAAGAGGACUCUUCUCUCUCAUUCUUUGAUUUUAAUAACAAGUGAAGAAGAUCCUCAAAGUAUUGUGAGUAAAGACGAGGAUUUCUCCUCCUAUCCAGGGCCUGUCAUGGAUGAAGAGACCCAGCACAGCCUUGAAUGCAUCCAGGCUAAUCAGAUUUUUCCCAGGAAGCAGCUGAUCCGAGAGGAUGAGAACCUUCAGGUCCCGUUCAUUGAACUUCACGGCGAGAGUACGGAGUACGUAGGACGAGCAGAGGAUGCCAUCAUUGCACUUUCUAAUUACAGGCUUCACAUCAAAUUCAAGGAGUCUGUUGUGAA